RNAcentral lists this ribosomal RNA (513 nucleotides) under uncultured fungus. RNAcentral describes it as "eukaryotic LSU rRNA". The stretch from base 157 to 310 matches the Rfam family "5.8S ribosomal RNA". The record is from RNAcentral. Lineage: Eukaryota; Fungi.
UACAGAACGCCCGGGCUUCGGCCUGGUUAUUCAUAACCCUUUGUUGUCCGACUCUGUUGCCCCCUUUGAGACCCUGCCUUCGGGCGGGGGCUCCGGGUGGACACUUCUUUCUCUUGCGUAACUUUGCAGUCUGAGUAAACUUAAUUAAUAAAUUAAAACUUUUAACAACGGAUCUCUUGGUUCUGGCAUCGAUGAAGAACGCAGCGAAAUGCGAUAAGUAAUGAGAAUUGCAGAAUUCAAUGAAUCAUCGAAUCUUUGAACGCACAUUGCGCCCCCUGGUAUUCCGGGGGGCAUGCCUGUUCGAGCGUCAUUUCACCACUCAAGCCUCGCUUGGUAUUGGGCAACGCGGUCCGCCGCGUGCCUCAAAUCGUCCGGCUGGGUCUUCUGUCCCCUAAGCGUUGUGGAAACUAUUCGCUAAAGGGUGUUCGGGAGGCUACGCCGUAAAACAACCCCAUUUCUAAGGUUGACCUCGGAUCAGGUAGGGAUACCCGCUGAACUUAAGCAUAUCAAUAA